RNAcentral lists this unclassified non-coding RNA (253 nucleotides) under uncultured Halomonadaceae bacterium. RNAcentral's name for it is "contains 16S-23S intergenic spacer region". It matches the Rfam family "Bacterial small subunit ribosomal RNA", at positions 524 to 776 of the family's 1533-position model. The record is from RNAcentral. Lineage: Bacteria; Pseudomonadati; Pseudomonadota; Gammaproteobacteria; Oceanospirillales; Halomonadaceae.
UACAGAGGGUGCAAGCGUUACUCGGAAUUACUGGGCGUAAAGCGCGCGUAGGUGGCUUUAUAAGUCGGUUGUGAAAUCCCCGGGCUCAACCUGGGAACUGCAUCCGGAACUGUCAAGCUAGAGUACAGGAGAGGAAGGUAGAAUUCCCGGUGUAGCGGUGAAAUGCGUAGAGAUCGGGAGGAAUACCAGUGGCGAAGGCGGCCUUCUGGACUGAUACUGACACUGAGGCGCGAAAGCGUGGGUAGCAAACAGA